RNAcentral lists this unclassified non-coding RNA (249 nucleotides) under Hevea brasiliensis (rubber tree). Lineage: Eukaryota; Viridiplantae; Streptophyta; Magnoliopsida; Malpighiales; Euphorbiaceae. The record is from RNAcentral.
ACGGCCUUCAUUUGCUGAGAUUAUGGCUGCUUUGAAACCACUGCAAAAGCCUAUAACCAGUUCACAAGUACCAAAACCACUGGGGAACAGAGGUCAAGAAAAGGGCCGGUCAUAAAGGAACGUGGAUGAUCGAGCAGCACAGCAUGUUUAGGACAGAAGGGAAAACGGAAUUUUAUCUUUUAUUGGAAACGAAGACAAGGUCCAUAUUUGUUUAACCCGAAAUUAAAGGAAGACAUAAAGGAUCUGUCA